UACAGAGGGUGCAAGCGUUAAUCGGAAUUACUGGGCGUAAAGGGCGCGUAGGUGGUUGUUUAAGUAAGAUGUGAAAUCCCUGGGCUUAACCUAGGAACUGCGUCUUAAACUGGACAGCUUGAGUACAAUAGAGGGUAGUGGAAUUUCCGGUGUAGCGGUGAAAUGCGUAGAUAUAGGGAAGAACACCAAUCAGGCGAAGGCAGUUAACUAUUCUAUUCCUGACAUUGAGGCAUGAAAGCGUGGGGAGCAAAACGG
This 255-nucleotide ribosomal RNA is filed under the name uncultured bacterium. RNAcentral's name for it is "partial 16S ribosomal RNA". It matches the Rfam family "Bacterial small subunit ribosomal RNA", at positions 524 to 776 of the family's 1533-position model. The record is from RNAcentral.